CAAUAGCGUAUAUUAAAGUUGUUGCGGUAAAAAAGCUCGUAGUUGGAUUUCUACCGAAGAUAGCCGGUCGGGUCUUCGACCUUGUAUCUGGUUUUGUCUUUGGUAUCCUCAUAGGGAACGUUUCUGCGCUUUAUUGCGUGGUGCGGUAUCUAUGACUUUUACUUUGAGGAAAUUAGAGUGUUCACGGCAGGCAAACGCCUUGAAUAUAUUAGCAUGGAAUAAUAACAUAGGAUCUUCGUCCUAUUUUGUUGGUUUCUAGGGCUAAGAUAAUGAUUAAUAGGGAUAAUUGGGGGCAUCUGUAUCAACGCGUCAGAGGUGGAAUUCUUGGAUUGCGUUGCGACAAACUACUGUGAAAGCAUUUGCCAAGGAUGUUUUCAUUGA
Molecule: ribosomal RNA, 381 nt
Filed under: uncultured eukaryote
Lineage: Eukaryota
Description: partial 18S ribosomal RNA
Rfam family: Eukaryotic small subunit ribosomal RNA
Source: RNAcentral